CGAACGCUGGCGGCGUGCUUAACACAUGCAAGUCGAACGGAAAGGCCCCUUUGGGGGUACUCGAGUGGCGAACGGGUGAGUAACACGUGAGUAACCUGCCCUUGACUUCGGGAUAACUUCAGGAAACUGGGGCUAAUACCGGAUAGGAAUCCUUGCUGCAUGGUGGGGGUUGGAAAGCUUCGGCGGUUUUGGAUGGACUCGCGGCUUAUCAGCUUGUUGGUGGGGUAGUGGCUUACCAAGGCUUUGACGGGUAGCCGGCCUGAGAGGGCGACCGGCCACAUUGGGACUGAGAGACGGCCCAGACUCCUACGGGAGGCAGCAGUGGGGAAUAUUGCACAAUGGGCGGAAGCCUGAUGCAGCAACGCCGCGUGCGGGAUGACGGCCUUCGGGUUGUAAACCGCUUUCAGCAGGGGCGAAGCUUGUGGUGACGGUACCUGCAGAAGAAGCACCGGCUAACUACGUG
This 463-nucleotide ribosomal RNA is filed under the name uncultured bacterium. RNAcentral's name for it is "partial 16S ribosomal RNA". It matches the Rfam family "Bacterial small subunit ribosomal RNA", at positions 30 to 507 of the family's 1533-position model. The record is from RNAcentral.